This 479-nucleotide ribosomal RNA is filed under the name uncultured bacterium. RNAcentral's name for it is "partial 16S ribosomal RNA". It matches the Rfam family "Bacterial small subunit ribosomal RNA", at positions 28 to 523 of the family's 1533-position model. The record is from RNAcentral.
GAUGAACGCUGGCGGCGUGCUUAACACAUGCAAGUCGAGCGAUGAAGCACCUUCGGGUGUGAAUUAGCGGCGAACGGGUGAGGAACACGUGAGAAAUCUGCCUUCAACUCUGGGAUAACUCCGGGAAACCGGGGCUAAUACCGGAUAUGAGCCUUGAUCGCAUGAUCGGGGCUGGAAAGUUUUUCGGUUGAAGAUGAUCUCGCGGCCUUUCAGCUUGUUGGUGAGGUAAUGGCUCACCAAGGCGACGACGGGUAGCCGGCCUGAGAGGGCGACCGGCCACACUGGGACUGAGACACGGCCCAGACUCCUACGGGAGGCAGCAGUGGGGAAUAUUGGGCAAUGGAGGAAACUCUGACCCAGCGACGCCGCGUGAGGGAUGAAGGCCUUCGGGUUGUAAACCUCUUUCAGUAGGGAAGAAGCGAAAGUGACGGUACCUACAGAAGAAGCACCGGCUAACUAUGUGCCAGCAGCCGCCGCGG